GGGUGCCUGAGGCUGUUUGCUGCAGGCAUUAUUCAGGAGCAGACAGAAGAAGGCCCCAGGUCAAUUUUCAUUAACCUGAGGCCACUCCUGCACAACCACAAUGUCAGGAUAGCCUCUUAACAGCAGAUUUGCAAUGGAGGUUAAGAUG
This is a non-coding RNA of 148 nucleotides. It matches the Rfam family "sok antitoxin (CssrC)". From Rfam's summary of the family: Also identified in Shigella as CssrC. The record is from Rfam.